GCCUGGCGUGGUGGCUCACGCCUGUAAUCCCAGCACUCUGGGAGGCUGAGGCAGGAGGAUAGCUGCAAGUUUGGGACCAGCCUGGGCUACAAAGUGAGUUCAAGGCCAGCCUGAACUGCAUAAUGAGACCCUGUCUCAAAAAGAUUAAAAAAUAAAAAGAGAGAGAGACAGGAUCUCACUAUGCAGUUCAGGCUGGCUUUGAGCUCACUUUGUAGCCCAGGCUGGUCUCGAACUUGCAGCGAUUCUCCAGCCUCA
Molecule: signal recognition particle RNA, 255 nt
Filed under: Chinchilla lanigera (long-tailed chinchilla)
Lineage: Eukaryota; Metazoa; Chordata; Mammalia; Rodentia; Chinchillidae
Description: Metazoan signal recognition particle RNA (ENSCLAG00000022023.1)
Rfam family: Metazoan signal recognition particle RNA
About the family: The signal recognition particle (SRP) is a universally conserved ribonucleoprotein. It is involved in the co-translational targeting of proteins to membranes.
Source: RNAcentral